RNAcentral lists this ribosomal RNA (253 nucleotides) under uncultured bacterium. RNAcentral describes it as "partial 16S ribosomal RNA". It matches the Rfam family "Bacterial small subunit ribosomal RNA", at positions 524 to 776 of the family's 1533-position model. The record is from RNAcentral.
UACGUAGGGCGCAAGCGUUAUCCGGAAUUAUUGGGCGUAAAGAGCUCGUAGGCGGUUUGUCGCGUCUGCCGUGAAAGUCCGGGGCUCAACUCCGGAUCUGCGGUGGGUACGGGCAGACUAGAGUGAUGUAGGGGAGACUGGAAUUCCUGGUGUAGCGGUGAAAUGCGCAGAUAUCAGGAGGAACACCGAUGGCGAAGGCAGGUCUCUGGGCCGAUACUGACGCUGAGGAGCGAAAGCGUGGGGAGCGAGCAGG